Molecule: long non-coding RNA, 328 nt
Filed under: Elaeis guineensis (African oil palm)
Lineage: Eukaryota; Viridiplantae; Streptophyta; Magnoliopsida; Arecales; Arecaceae
Description: long non-coding RNA (EGUI_LNC035770)
Source: RNAcentral
CUUGUGCACUUCUGAAAAUUCUACAGAAUUAGCCAUUAGAGUUAUCAGCCAUAGUCGAGUUGACUCGAGACUAAAUGGAGAUCGACUCAAGAUAACUAUAAAUCAGCUCAAUAGAAGUAGGGUCAACUCGAGGUCUGGCUAAAAGAAUAUAGUUUUCUAUCUUUUUUAAGAGAGUCAACUCUAGAUCAAGUAGAAAUCUACUUUAGGUCAAUACUAAAAAAUUCUACUCUAUGUCUAUUUGAUAGAGUCAACUCGAUAAAAGUAGAGGUCAACUCUCAAAUUGUGCCACUUUAUAUUUAUGUGCUAGAGUUGGCUCUUUGAAGCUUGG